Molecule: ribosomal RNA, 1098 nt
Filed under: uncultured organism
Description: bacterial SSU rRNA
Rfam family: Bacterial small subunit ribosomal RNA
Source: RNAcentral
CCCCCCACACUGGUACUGAGACACGGACCAGACUCCUACGGGAGGCAGCAGUGAGGAAUAUUGGUCAAUGGAGGCAACUCUGAACCAGCCAAGCCGCGUGAAGGAAGACUGUCCUAUGGAUUGUAAACUUCUUUUGUGGCAGAAUAAACUACCGUACUUGUACGGUAUUGCAUGUAUGCCAUGAAUAAAGCAUCGGCUAACUCCGUGCCAGCAGCCGCGGUAAUACGGAGGAUGCAGGCGUUAUCCGGAUUUAUUAGGUUUAAAGGGUGUUCAGCCUGCCUGGUAAGUCAGGGGUGAAAGUCGGUUGCUCAACGAUCGAAUUGCCUUUGAAACUGUCAGGCUCGAGUAUGGAUGCGGUAGGCGGAAUGUGUAGUGUAGCGGUGAAAUGCAUAGAUAUUACACAGAACACCGAUUGCGAAGGCAGCUUACCAAACCAGCACUGACGCUGAAGCACGAAAGCGUGGGGAGCGAACAGGAUUAGAUACCCUGGUAGUCCACGCCGUAAACUUUGCUCACUCGCUGUUGGCGAUAGACAGUCAGCGGCCAAGGGAAACCGAUAAGUGAGCCACCUGGGGAGUACGGCCGCAAGGUUGAAACUCAAAGGAAUUGACGGGGGCCCGCACAAGCGGUGGAACAUGUGGUUUAAUUCGAUGAUACGCGAGGAACCUUACCUGGGCUUAAAUGUGAAGUGCAUUGAUUGGAAACAAUCAUUUCCUUCGGGACCCUUUACAAGGUGCUGCAUGGUUGUCGUCAGCUCGUGCCGUGAGGUGUCGGGUUAAGUCCCAUAACGAGCGCAACCCCUAUUGUUAGUUACCAGCGCGUAAAGGCGGGGACUCUAGCGAAACUGCCGGUGUAAACCGCGAGGAAGGUGGGGAUGACGUCAAAUCAGCACGGCCCUUAUGUCCAGGGCUACACACGUGUUACAAUGGCCGGUACAGCGGGCAGCUAGGCAGCGAUGUCAUGCUAAUCCCGAAAGCCGGUCCCAGUUCGGAUUGGAGUCUGCAACCCGACUCCAUGAAGGUGGAAUCGCUAGUAAUCGCGCAUCAGCCAUGGCGCGGUGAAUACGUUCCCGGGCNUUGUACGCACCGCCCGUCAAGC